ACCCACACCUAAAAACUUUUCCACGUGAACCGUUCCAACCCAAUCGUUGGGGGUCUUCUUCGGCGGCGGCUGCUGGCUUAAUUGUUGGCGGCUGCUGCUGAGUGAGCCCUAUCAAAAAAAAGGCGAACGUUUGGGCUUCGGCCUGAUUUAGUAGUCUUUUUUUCUUUUAAACCCAUUCCUUAAUACUGAAUAUACUGUGGGGACGAAAGUCUCUGCUUUUAACUAGAUAGCAACUUUCAGCAGUGGAUGUCUAGGCUCGCACAUCGAUGAAGAACGCUGCGAACUGCGAUACGUAAUGCGAAUUGCAGGAUUCAGUGAGUCAUCGAAAUUUUGAACGCAUAUUGCACUUCCGGGUUAGUCCUGGAAGUAUGCCUGUAUCAGUGUCCGUACAUUAAACUUGACUUUCUUCCUUCCGUGUAGUCGGUGGAGGAGAUGUCAGAUGUGAAGUGUCUUGCGAUUGGUCUUCGGACCGGCUGCGAGUCCUUUUAAAUGUACUAAACUGAACUUCUCUUUGCUCGAAAAGUGGUGGCGUUGCUGGUUGUGAAGGCUGCUAUUGUGGCAAAUUGGCGACUGGUUUGUCUGCUGCGGCGUUAAUGGAAAGAGUGUUCGAUUCGUGGUAUGGUUGGCUUCGGCUGAACAAUGCACUUAUUGGACGUUUUUCCUGCUGUGGCGUGAUGGACUGGUGAACCAUAGCUCGGUGGCUUGGCUUUUGAAUUGGCUUUGCUGUUGCGAAGUAGGGUGGCAGCUUCAGUUGUCGAGGGUCGAUCCAUUUGGGAACUUAAUGUGUACUUCGGUAUGCAUCUCAAUUGGACCUGAUAUCAGGCAGAUUACCCGCUGAC
The sequence is a ribosomal RNA, 839 nucleotides long. The stretch from base 232 to 386 matches the Rfam family "5.8S ribosomal RNA".